UUCUUUAUGAAUUUUAUAUAAAGUAAUUUCUGCCCAAUGAAUAAUUUUAUUUAAAUGGCUGCAGUAUAUUGACUGUACAAAGGUAGCAUAGUAAUUAGUUUUUUAAUUGGGAACUUGUAUGAAAGGAUACAUGAGAAAUUCUCUUUAUUAAUUUUAUAAUUAAAAUUUUAUUUUUUGGUAAAAAAGCUAAAUUGUUUUUUAGGGACGAUAAGACCCUAUAGAAUUUAAAAUUUAUUUUAAUUUAAAUAUUUUUUAGGUUAAAUUUAUUUUUUUUAAUUUAAAUUUUUAAUUGGGGUGAUUAAUAAAUUCUAUAUCUUUUUUUUAAAAAUUCAUAUAUAUAUGUUUGUUUUGAUCCUUAAAUUUAAGAUUGUAAGAUAAAUUACCUUAGGGAUAACAGCGUAAUUUUAAUGGGAAGUUCAUAUUUAAAUUAAAGUUUGCGACCUCGAUGUUGAAUUAAGAGUAAUUUAUGGUGUAGAUGCUAUGAUUUUAAGUCUGUUCGACUUUUACAAUCUUACA
This 516-nucleotide ribosomal RNA is filed under the name Glaberana furca. RNAcentral's name for it is "partial large subunit ribosomal RNA". The record is from RNAcentral. Lineage: Eukaryota; Metazoa; Arthropoda; Insecta; Hemiptera; Cicadellidae.